AACACGUCAGUCUGCUCUCCCAAAAGGCACUCCCUGUUAUUUUUAUGCAGGAACGUCAUUAUCUUUGGUAUUGUUUUGUAAAUAGUCCCGGAUUUCAUAAUGAACAUAAACUCCUCUUUCGUCACGAGACAGUCAGAGAGAGCUGCUGAAAAACAGCACACAGAGCUGAUAUGACACUGGCCAGUGUUUAAACUAGUCAGGUUUAAAACACAGUUAUUCUGUUCUUCCUGGAAAAAGCUUAAUCAUUUGGAAAUUUAUAAUAGUUUUAUUUAGCUUUGAAUGAGCAGAAGUGGAUAAAAUGCCGGCUGGGACAUCUGCGUCUCUCUGCCAGAUUUUACUGUCUGUCUGCCUCCUGUUUGCCUCUACAGAUGGGAAAAUUAUCAGAGCUGAGCCUGGACAGGACGUCACUCUGCCAUGUCAAACUCCAAACAUCAGCGUGCCCAUCAGAUCUGUGGAGUGGUUCAGACUUGACCUGCAGGAAGGACAUGUCCUUACAUACCGGGGUGAGCAGUUUAUUUCAUUGAACCAGCUUCCAUCGUUUGUGAACCGGGUGGAUCUGAAGGACAGACGGACGAAGGACGGAGACGUGUCUUUGAUUCUGAAGGAUGUGACGAGUGACGACACUGGAACAUUUCAGUGUUACGUCGUCCAGAGAGGAACAAAUGGCAGAAAAAGCAUUUUUGAAUAUAUCAGCACCGUCUACCUGAGAGUUGUUCCUCCAGGUCAGACAGGAGGACACAGGAAACGUGAAGGGAACGAGGAUGUAUCCUCUGGAUUGGACUUUUGUUUAACAGUUAGUGUUAUACUUGUUACACUAGCUCUUGCUUUUUUUAUGACCUUGACAAUACCCAAAACACAGGAGAAGAAGAUUUGAUUCAGCCAUCAGAUGACUCGACAGGUGAGCCUUAAGUCACCUACCCACUAAACAUUGGACAUCGGAUAGACGUCCAUAUUAUGUCUAUAUUGGGUCCAUUGGCACAUGACCAAUUCUGGACAUCUAUAUAUCCAAACUAGGUCCACAACUUGAACAUUAAAACACUAGAUUUCAGUAGACAUCGAAAAAAAAGACCUCACCUGGUGUUAAAUGGCAGAUAAAAGUCACUCCGAGGUCAAUUUGCUCAGUGGGUCGCUAGCAGCAGUGAGUUGUAGAUGUCUAACAGAUCUUGAAUUUAUUUAGUGUUUCUUCAGAAACAUUAUUAAAGAGAUUAAAAAAUAAAUAAAUGAAAUUAAGUGUUUUCUUUUCCAAGAUUGUUUCGCUGUUAAUAAGCAGUAAUUUCAAUCAAAGAUGGAUGUAAUCAAGUCUUCAUAGAGCAGCCAGUCCCAAAUGACUGCUACAAUCCAUUUUCACCAAAAGUUAUUUUUUAUUUCCAGAAUUAUUUCUAUCAUUAUGUUUUCAUUUAUCAAUUUGAUAAUUUACUUUUUUGGGAAGCAGUGUGUGAAACCUAAAAAUGUAUGAUCACAUACAUCAUGUUGAAACAGGAUUUCUACAUGAUCUAGUUCUCAUUUGUUUUGUUUCUACGCUGUACAUACAGCCUGGUAUAUAUUUAUUUUAGGAGUGUUGGGAUUAAAUAAUUUGCAGUGCCUCAAUAAUGCUAUGCUUUUAUUAAUAAGUGUUAUAAAGUUAUAUAGAGUAGUAUUAAGUGGACACAGCCCUGAAAAAUAAAGGUAUGACACCAUGUGUCCUUGGGGAGUAGAAAGCUGCAGACUCUCGCCCAUGCAUGCCUGGGAAAAUGUAGAUAAGAGUGGAAAGUUACUGAGACACUGUUGUUUAGACUAGAAUGAGAGAGCUUCUGUAAUAAAACUGUUAGUGUCAUGCAGGAUGCAUUUCCCUUCUAGAAGUAAUGUGAAAGAGAAAUAAAGAGUUAAAUGGUCUCAGUGUAGCACUGAGCAGUGUUUUGUCUUCCAUCGGAUGCCUCUGAGGAAUCAAAAGAACUCGGUUAAGUGUUGAUAUUUAUAUUUACAGGAGAUGGUGGAACAUGUUUGGUUGUCACUGUCAGACGUUGUGUAUUGUUGCAUGUGUUCACAGAUAAAGAGAGUUUACAAAGUGAAUAAUAAGCAGGUUAAUCAGUGUUAGUGCGACUGCUCAGAUAUAUUAUUGAAGCUGCAGAGCAGGAGGAUUUAGUUGUAAGUUACACUGUAUGUAAAAGGGACCAACAUACAGUCAUUAUUUAGUAAAUUUGUACCUAAACAAACAAGAUAACCAGAUGGGUUAAAAUAUCUGAACCUGAGUUAACGUUGUGUUUUUAUGUGACAACAAGAUGACGUGUACAUGGACAGAAAAAGAUGGUGAAAUUCUGUUUAAUAAACAAACGAGGAAGAGCUUGCAGACUGAACAC
This is a long non-coding RNA of Oreochromis aureus, 2336 nucleotides long. NCBI's taxonomy places the organism in Eukaryota, Metazoa, Chordata, Actinopteri, Cichliformes, Cichlidae. The record is from Ensembl.